CGCUGCCGCCGUAUCGCGCAAGUGUCCCUCUCCGCCAUGGCCCACCGCCACCCGGUUACCACCAGACAGCCACAGUUCACCAGGUACCGGUUACCGUGCACGGUAACAACAAAUUUCAUGAAAUGGUUUUUACUACAUUGGGACAGUGGAAUAAGGAUGAAAUGUCUUGUGGUCAACCACCUAUAUUUUAUACGAGUAUAUACAAUCCGAAAUGGCUAAAAAGCAAGAUUUCAACUUCAACUACGUAAGCUGUAUGAUCCAAGGACAAUUAUAUUAAUAAAUCAAUAACAAAAGUUGAAAGAUUUAUAUGGCGGUUGUCACUAUGACACUAUCAAAUAUCAAACAAUAGAAUAAAACUCUACAGUUAUUAUAAGACAUAGAUAUUAUCAUACAAACCAAUCAAAUCACAUUGAUAAUCAAACAAGAAUACUGGGCACCACAGAGACUUUCGUAUGGGGGCGCAGGUUAAUUCAGUAUUUAAAAAUAUUGAUAUAUUAUUAUUUAU
Aphis gossypii (cotton aphid) is the source of this 505-nucleotide long non-coding RNA. RefSeq lists it as uncharacterized. Lineage: Eukaryota; Metazoa; Arthropoda; Insecta; Hemiptera; Aphididae. The transcript has 3 exons. The record is from RefSeq and is a predicted model, not a curated record.